GUGAGGAAUAUUGCGCAAUGGAGGCAACUCUGACGCAGCCAUGCCGCGUGCAGGAAGAAGGCGCUACGCGUUGUAAACUGCUUUUAACCGGGAAGAAACCCCAGGACGUGUCCUGGGUUGACGGUACCGGAGGAAUAAGCACCGGCUAACUUCGUGCCAGCAGCCGCGGUAAUACGAAGGGUGCAAGCGUUAUCCGGAUUCAUUGGGUUUACAGGGUGCGUAGGAGGAGCGUUAAGUCAGUGGUGAAAUCCUGCAGCUUAACUGUAGACUUGCCAUUGAUACUGGCGCUCUUGAGUGCGCUUGAAGUGGGCGGAAUGUGCCGUGUAGCGGUGAAAUGCUUAGAUAUGGCACAGAACACCAAUUGCGAAGGCAGCUCACUAAGGCGAUACUGACGCUGAGGCACGAAAGCGUGGGGAUCGAACAGGAUUAGAUACCCGAGUAGUCC
Molecule: ribosomal RNA, 445 nt
Filed under: uncultured bacterium
Lineage: Bacteria
Description: bacterial SSU rRNA
Rfam family: Bacterial small subunit ribosomal RNA
Source: RNAcentral